UGCAGAAACAGUGUGAAGCAAUUGGAAAGUCCCUUACCAUGCAGCCCUUUUUAAACAGACCAAACAAAUAUUUAGUCCCUCCAUGAUCACCAACUGUUAUCAUGGGACCUACACUAAAAUUAAUAUUUCGGGUUCUUGUUGCAAGCUUAGAGAAGCAUUCUAAACUUAGACAAGACAGGAAACAUGACAAAGCUCAGAAUUUAUUUGAGGAAGUGAGAGGAAUACAAAGGAAUGCAAGGGCGUCAUUUAAGGGAGAGCAGGGUCAGGAAGAUAGACUGGGAGAUCCAUACCAGGCACUGGACAGAACAAGGGCUACAUGUGGGAGUCCACAGGCCAGAACCACGUGGGGAAGCCACGUGGGCAGGAGUGGUCAUGAAACAGGCAGCAUGUCGAAGAACAGGGCUACAUUUCUCAAUAAAAUACAUUAAUUCAUUCUGAAAUGUUUGAUAAUUUUAUCAGCUCUAAAGCAAAUUUUACAUCUCUAAUUGCUUCAUAAACUCUAACUCAUUCUGAAAUUUUCUUACAAACUUCUGCUAUCAAGAAAAAUAUAAAUUGAUUGGUCAAGUUUUCUUCAACUGGAAGGCUACAGAAUUGGGGGUAUUGAUAUGUCCCUGUGGGCCAAGUGGAGACUGAUGUUCUCAAACCUGGCUUGAAAGUCAACUUUGCUCCAGUCAACACCGCAAUGCAAGUGAAGUCUGUCAAAACACUCCAUGAAGCUCUGAGUGAAGCUUCCUCUGGGGGCAGUGUGGGCUUCCGUGUCAAGACCAUGUCUUUCAGAGAGAUAGUCAUCAUGGCAAUGUUGCUGGUAACAGCAAAACAGGACCCAUCAGCGGAAGCAUCUGACUUCACUGCUUAUUCUGAACCAUCCAGGCCAAAUCAGGUACUAACUCAAGAAAAGAAAACAUAUGCCCACACAAGGACUUGUGCAUGACUGCUGUUCAUGUGUGAUAGGCAAAACAUGGAAAUAAGUCAAAGAUCCUGCAAUCGGAGAAUGCACUGUGUCCACACAAUGGGAUAUUCUUCACAAUAAAAGGGGAUGAACCAUUGAUAUGUAAGGUGCUGUGGCAUAUCUGGUAAAGCCAUCUCCUGCAGUGCUGGCAUCCCAUAUGGGUGCCAGUAUGAGACCUGGCUGCUCCACUUCCCAUCCAGCUCUCUGCUAUGGCCUGGGAAAGCGGCAGAUGGCCCAAGUCCUUGGGCCCCUGCUCCUGCAAGGGAGACCUGGAAGAAGCUCCUGGCUCCUGGAUUCAGAUCAGCCCAGCAUUAGCCCUUACAGCAUUUGUGGAGUGAACCAGCGGAAGACACCCCCGCCCCCCUUUCUGGAACUCUGCCUUUCAAAUAAAUAAAUAACUCUUUUUAAAAAAUAAAGUCCUGCCCUUGUUGGCAGCUAACCCCAGGACACGCAAUUUGGUACCCACCUUAACUGUGCAAUCAGAACUGUGUCAUCUGAACCAUUUGGGACAUUGGGGAUUGUUUCUGCUGUUGAUCAUCAAUCCUUUUCAAGGGCAUGAAUAAGAUUAGUUUACGCCUUGUAAAUGGAUGCUGAUGAUAUGCUACUACAACUUGCUUCUUUGACAUGCUUUUGUUCUUUCUUAACAUGAGGUGCCCAUUUGCACACUGCUGGUUUCUUUGGGGGCAUUGCCUCCGUAAGUCUUUUGUAAAACCCCAGUGAUUGCACCCAGGCGUCACCAUCAUUUGUUGUUUGUCCAAUUUAGCAGAAUCCCUGCUGCUCUGGUAGAAGCUCUUUUCUACCUGAAGCUUUAUCUUUCUUGGUGCCUCAAACUAGAUUCUAUUCAGGCAUGAAUUACUAUGAGUUUAUCAGAGUGGAAAAUGUUUUUCAAGUAUAUGCAUUGUUUUCUCAUAAUAUAGUAUUCCAAUCACUUUUUAGACUCGUGUGUGUGUGUGUGUGUGCGUGCGUGUGCAUGUGUGCUCUGGGUUCUGCUUGUCUGAAUGGCAUGAUUUGGCUAGCGACCUUUUGUGUUGUCCUUCUACCCUGAGUACCACAUGUCUCAGAAAAUGGUACUUUUAAUUUGGGUUCCAAAAUGAAAAGAUGGAUACAGUCUAGCAAACUGCCCACACCCUGCCAAGCUCUUCAGAGUUCCAGUUGAGCAUGAACCCUCAGAUAAUGUGAGUUAGAGUGUUUUAGGGGAAGGGAGAUAUUGUUAUGAAAAAUAGUGAAUUUACAGACUAUUAGAAGAAGCAAAGGAUUAUCUCUGAAGUGAAACAGAUUGUAAAGUGUAGCAAGGAAAAUCACUGUUAAUAAAUGAUCCUGUUCUGGUUAGCAUUCAUAUAAAAUUUGAGGCAAUAAGAUUUUUGCAAAGAAACAGUAGAAAUAAUGAGGAAAAAAUCAAGGAGGAGUCAACUAGGAAUCAAUAUCUAUUUACAGAGGAUCUUCUUUUUCAAAAAAUCCAUCAUAAUACCUUCUGGGAAGGAAACAGAUUUCAGUGCCGAUAAUAUUUGACCUCAGCAGACCUCGUAGUAAACAGUCUACUACUCUGAUUGGGUUUAGCAACAGGGGAAUAUAUCUUAAAAAUGCUUUUAACAGUAUGUACUUGUUCAUCCAGAUUGCUUAUUAUAAAUAAACUCAAAUUUAUGGAGUUGUAGGCCAUGACUGAUUGGAGAACAGAAAGAAUGCAUGCAGAGUCUUUUUGUGUGACAAAGGGAAAAUAAAUACUGAGAAGUCCUAGACCCAGACAGCUUCCCCUGAGAACAGUGCUCUGCACAUAUUGUUAGUGCUGCCUGCUUCUGUGAGGCCAAGUCUUGAUUCAAAGUGCAAGAACGGGGCAUGUUAUGCAAGCUAUUUCUGUUGGUUUGGGAUGCCUCCAGAGCAGGAUGUUAUAUCUACAUUGCUUUGUUGCUUUAUUCUUUUCAUUACUGGUGAAAUUUGCUGUUGGAUAUGAUAUUUGAAUCAUGUGUAUUUUGCCAAUUUAAACCUUGUGGUGGUGUACCAAUUAUAAUGAGAAAUUAUUAGUUUUUCCUUGGAACCAAGCACUAAACUAUGUCUUAAAGGGAUUAUGGAUACAUUAAGAAAAAUAGCAUAGCAGGAAAUUUUAAGCACAUGUUGUGACAGAAAUCAAAAUAGGAUAGCAAGGGAAAAUAAUUAAUUCAAAGGCAAGCAUGUGGUACAGUAAUUACUGCUUGAGACAUACACAUCCCACAUUGAUUCUGAUGCUUCCUGCUAAUGCACACCCUGAGAGGGAGAAGAUGAUGGCUCAAGUACUUGGGUCCCUGUCCUGGGUCACAGCCUUGCAUAGCCACAGCUGUGUGCCCUUGGAGAGUGAACCACUGGAUGGAAGGUCUCUCUCCUCUUACUCUCUCUCUCCCUCUCUCUUUCUCUCUCUCUCUUUUUCUGCCUUUCAAAUAAAAUGAAAGUAAGUGAAACACUUUAUAAAAAAAGUUCACUCAAACGUGAACCUUUUAAAUUUUUUACCUGCCCCUCUUGCUGAGUCAGAUGAGCAAGAGAUAGUAUAUUUUGUUAUUGUUAAUUUUAUUGCAUUACCUUGCUUAACUUAUAAGCUGUCACAGGAAGAUAUUCACGUUACUUAUUUCUAUAUGUACCUCUAAAUUGUUUAAUAUAUAAAUCUAUUUUGAUACUUUAUACAAAUGCUAACAAUUUUCUUCACAAGUUUUUCUUAAAAUGUUAAUGCUUUUGGCACAAAGCAGAAUUAAUGUUUAUUUCAUUGAUUUUAUGCAUUUCAAGUAUUCUACAUGAUCCUGUAAUAUUUCUUUUCUAUUUUAUAUAUUUUUUAAUUUAUAUAAAGUGAACAAAGUUCAAAUAUUUCAUAUAUACAGAUUUAGGAUCAUAGUGAUACUUCCCAUCCUAACCUCCCUCCUGCCCAUGAUCCCAUUCUUCCUCACCUUCCUUCUUAUUAUUUCUUAAAACUUUUAGAAAGACAUACUUUCAGUUGAUUUACAAUCAUAAGAUUAGCCCUGCACUAAGUAAAUAAUUCAACAAAUAGCAAGAAGAAGAAAAAAAAAGUGUUCCUCAACAGUAGAGACAAGAGCUGCAAACAAUAAUCAGUUCUCAAAAUGUCAAUUUCCCUCAUAUAGAUUACAUUUUUGUACUUUAUUAGUUACCACAGAUCAGGGAAAACUUCCUAUGUAUUGCUACUUUAUGUUAUUCUGUAGGGCUGGUUUUGAAAUAUAUAAUAAUGUACAUGAACAGGCAUACAUGCUAAAUGACAGACUGUAAUUUACAACUGCAGAGGAAAAAUGUUCUUAAAUACGAGUAGAGUCCAUUUUUUCCAUUGGAGAAGUGGUACUUUGUAUCCAGCUAAUAUUGUGAAAAUGAUAUCUUCAAAAGUCCAGCAGUACAAUUUGACAGAUUGUAAGAACAGAGUUAGAACGCUAAACUCACAUAUGAAGACUUAGUAAUAUUUAAAUUCAUUUCUGGUAAGUGCUCUUUGGACUCUAAAUGUAACUGCCUUUUCUGAAAAAUGUUGAUAACUAAGAUUUAUAUUUAGGUAGGACACUGACACCACAGUCUUCUACUUUAGGAAAAAAUCUAAAUGGAAUCCUGCCUCUGUUGUCUCUUCAUAAUUAUGAUAACAUAUGACAGAAAAGUAACGUGUUUUUAAGUAGCCUACAAUCAGGAGUAAUACAAAAUAGUUUUCUUGGAAACAAUGAUAUGAUAUUGACUGUAACUAUAGGUUUCAGUUGGCCCAGUCUUUCUGUAUUUUUCUGGGGUUCUAGAAUUUAGGUAUUUCUAAGUGCAUGCAGAAUCCUCUAGUUAAGUUUACAUGUAUAAAAUCUCAUAUUUCAACAGAUAAGAAUGAGUAAGAAUCAAAUAUUAAUGAGGAAUCUUAGUAUGUCCAUACAACUCAGUACUGGUAGAUACUACAGCAUUAUGAAUCUCACAAACACUGUAUGUGAAAGAAGUCAAUUGCAACAUGUUGCCUGAUUACAUUUACAUGAAUUAACAAGAAUGAACAAAUGCACAGGACAGGAAGUACAUAAACAGCUUCCUGAGCUAGAGGGGAGGCAGAGUAAAUGGUGAAUGUCUGUUAGUAGCUAUGAGGUCUGAAGCAUUCUAAUUACAGUAGCAUAACCCUCUGUAUGUACCCAAAGCCUUAUCUGUAUUCUUUGAUUAGGUGAAUUCUGUGGUAUAUAAAUUCUAUUUAAGUAAAAUUUUAAAGUACAGAAUCUAAUCAAUAAUCUUAGAAGCAUCUCUGUAUUUCUAAAACUCAAUAACAAUUUUUAAAGUUGUUUAAUAUUUGGAAUAGAGUUUAACCCAUCUCUAAUGGAACUCACAUUUAAAUGGUUUUAUGGUUUAAAUUGUUUAAAUGGUUUUAAACCAUUUAAAGAAGCCACUAACGGCUACCAUAAAAUGUCCUUCUGUUGAAGUGCCAGACUGAAUGCCUAUCUUAAUCCUGACCCAGACCACUGGUGUGACCCACCGCAUUCUCCCAAGAGAAAACCAUCUUUGCACUCAACAGUCUAGUGUGUCACUUUGAGGAACUUCCAAGUAGGCAGUCCCCUGAGAGUAUCUCUUAGAGGUAAAGAUGGGUAGGGAAAUUUACAAAAUAAUAAUUUUCUAAAUUUCUACUCCAUGUUCUUCACUCAUGUGUGAAAUGUAUUUACAUGAACAUAAUAACUCAAACCUCAAAUAUUACUUUAACCCAGUAUUUUAUUUUAUGAUGUUUGAUAAUGGGGCAGGAGAAUGACAAAGAUAGAAGUUUUAGAGCUAAAUCUUUGUAUUCUAAGGAAAAACCAACAUGUGAAAUUAAAUAUAUGGAUUGAAGAAAAGCAUUUUUUAUAAAAAUAUGGAGUCUGAAAGAAGUAGCUUUUGGGCCUCUGGAAUCAAAAGUUUAGAAGAGAGCCUAUGUUGUGGUGUAGUGGGUAAAGCCCAUAUGGGCACUGGUUCAUGUCCUGGCUACUCCACUUCUGAUCCAGCUCUCUGUUAAUGCACUCAGGAAAAGCAGAGAGGAUGGCCCAAGUGUUUGAACCCCUGCUACCCAUCCAGGAGACCUGGAUGAAGCUACUAGCUCCUUUGGCCUGGCUCAGCCCUGGCCAUUGUAUCCAUCCGGGGAGUGAACCAGCAGAUGGAUGAUCUCUCUCUCCCUCUCUCUCUGUAACUCUUUCAAAUAAACAAAUAAUCUUUUUCUGCUGGGGCAAGAUGGUGGAAUAGGAAGGGAGCACACUGAUAGUCCGGGGAGAGAUAGUUUAAUAAAAGUGGAGAUACUGCAGGUUCAAGGAAGAGUAGGGGAGGAAACAGCAGAAGAAACUCUUCCGGAACGCGUGAUUCACAGCGGACCUGUGUGGAGAGCGUGGGAGCCCACAGUUCGGGACACCAGUGGCAGACUCAACACACCAGCGCUGGAACGCGAGGUGAGCCGAACCUCAAUAGCCCGAGACACCGGCAGGCAAGCAGAGAGAGGAGACCAGAGGGAAUGACCCCCCGGUGGGGGUGGAGUUCACCAGGCUAACUGGAAGAGAGAGAGAGAGAAAAAAAAAAAAAGGUGACUGGUACGGACACGGGUUUCUCUCUCCGCUCACCUCUCAAGGGUGAGCAAGACAAAGAGCAGGUGCCAUCUUGGACAUACGUCAUAAGCAGAGCGACCUCAGGUCUGCACCGGCCCUGAGCCUAGCAGAAAAACCUGACUCUGGGCGGGGAAAAUUAACAGGAGAUUAGGACCUAGUAA
This is a non-coding RNA of Oryctolagus cuniculus (rabbit), 6638 nucleotides long. The record is from RefSeq and is a predicted model, not a curated record. NCBI's taxonomy places the organism in Eukaryota, Metazoa, Chordata, Mammalia, Lagomorpha, Leporidae.